CACAGAGUAGGGGAGAACCGGGACAAAUUAAACACUUUUUAAUGAAACGUAAUUUACAAAGACAUUGUAAAACACUGAAAGUUAAUAUUUUGUCACUAGCAACCUACAUCUGUCCUCUG
Long non-coding RNA from Alosa sapidissima (American shad), 119 nucleotides. RefSeq lists it as uncharacterized. The record is from RefSeq and is a predicted model, not a curated record. The transcript has 3 exons. Lineage: Eukaryota; Metazoa; Chordata; Actinopteri; Clupeiformes; Clupeidae.